Helianthus annuus (common sunflower) is the source of this 1214-nucleotide RNA transcript. RefSeq lists it as uncharacterized. The transcript has 5 exons. The record is from RefSeq and is a predicted model, not a curated record. NCBI's taxonomy places the organism in Eukaryota, Viridiplantae, Streptophyta, Magnoliopsida, Asterales, Asteraceae.
ACCCCAAUCUCAUACACAGUUACACACAUUAGAGAGGAUAGAGAGAGAGAGAGAGAGAGAGACCGAUGAAAGGAAGAGGAAACUGGCCACCCAAAUCCGAUUGGGGGGGGGGGGGCGUACGCUAUCCCUACUCGCUACUGGAGGACGAGGGUUCCAUUAGUGAUGUCGUUUCGGCGACGGUUGUUCUGUUCCCAUGGUUCAGGUGGUGCACGACGUCGGUCGACGGCGGCGGCUGAAACUGGAACUAGGGUUCCGGUGGUUUCCAUGUGCAGAUCUGAAUGGGUAACAACACUGGCACGCUGAACUCAUUGCUACUUUUGCCAUUGGUCAGAGGAACCAAGAUAUUGUUCAUGCUUUUGAAAGGAAUCUUCUUCAAGUCACAGAUGGUGGUUGUACGUCUUUGUUUAGAGUUUGUAAAGUGUGUUGGUUGUUACGCGUCUCACAUAGCGUGGCGAUUGGAUUGCGCUUUAUUUGGUCUUCCUUUUCCACAAAUGGUUAUUUGCGUUUUCCACUGAAUCUAAUCUAUGUUAACCGAGCGAGUCUGAUUGUGAUAGGUGUGGUUGGCAACAACUAUCCAAAUUUAGGACGGCGCUACUUCAUGGCAACCACUAGAUACCUCCGAUUUUACUCAAUCCGCACCUACUUCUAGCCACAAUCCCUUAGAUUUCUAAUUUUACCAUACACUAAUAGGAAUUCUUUUGUUCCCUUCAAACUUGAACAAUUUUACAUUUAUGGGGUAUAAUUUACAUUGAUUUUGCUGGAUUAUAGGUGAUUUCUAACUCUUGCAUAAUAAUAGUCAGGUCCUUAAGAUGCUCCAAUUCAGUAUUGCAUACGACUUCCAUAGAACGAUUCAAUUCAAUGGGAACUGAAGAUUGAUGAUGGUACCUUCUUCAUCGCCUCAGAACUCAUCAACUCGACGAAGAUCCUCAUUGUCGCCUUAGAAUACCCAUUAUCUCAAUAGGGCGAUGUACUUCCUAUUUGUAAAUGAUGUUACCGUAUGUGAUGUGCGAUUAAAGGAAACCUAGAUUUUUUUCCAACAUUAUGCUAGGCGAUUUCUCAUUGUCAACAUAAACAAUCCCAUGACGCUCAUAGAUAAUUAUGAUAGUUUCACUUAUAACCUUAGCCAGGUUUCCCAUUCUUUACCUAUGUCAAAAGUUAGUAGAUACAAGUACAAGAAACAUGAAUUACGGAAGGUUUUUUUUUUAUUUUUUAUA